CCUACGGGAGGCAGCAGUGGGGAAUUUUGGACAAUGGGCGAAAGCCUGAUCCAGCAAUGCCGCGUGAGUGAAGAAGGCCUUCGGGUUGUAAAGCUCUUUUGUCAGGGAAGAAACGGUGCGGGCUAAUAUCCUGCACUAAUGACGGUACCUGAAGAAUAAGCACCGGCUAACUACGUGCCAGCAGCCGCGGUAAUACGUAGGGUGCAAGCGUUAAUCGGAAUUACUGGGCGUAAAGCGUGCGCAGGCGGUUUUGUAAGUCUGUCGUGAAAUCCCCGGGCUCAACCUGGGAAUUGCGAUGGAGACUGCAAGGCUAGAAUCUGGCAGAGGGGGGUAGAAUUCCACGUGUAGCAGUGAAAUGCGUAGAGAUGUGGAGGAACACCGAGGGCGAAGGCAGCCCCCUGGGUCAAGAUUGACGCUCAUGCACGAAAGCGUGGGGAGCAAACAGGAUUAGAUACCCUGGUAGUCCACGCCCUAAACGAUGUCUACUAGUUGUCGGGUUUUAAUUAACUUGGUAACGCAGCUAACGCGUGAAGUAGACCGCCUGGGGAGUACGGUGCAAGAUUAAAACUCAAAGGAAUUGACGG
This 584-nucleotide ribosomal RNA is filed under the name uncultured bacterium. RNAcentral's name for it is "bacterial SSU rRNA". It matches the Rfam family "Bacterial small subunit ribosomal RNA", at positions 338 to 916 of the family's 1533-position model. The record is from RNAcentral.